Molecule: long non-coding RNA, 2625 nt
Filed under: Physcomitrium patens
Lineage: Eukaryota; Viridiplantae; Streptophyta; Bryopsida; Funariales; Funariaceae
Description: long non-coding RNA (PPAT_LNC002791)
Source: RNAcentral
AAUUUGGUGCUGUUCUAAUUUCAACACUCAAUUUCAAUAUGCCCAAAUUCAUUCUCAAAGUCAAUCUGGUAGAGGUCAUGUUUUAAAUAAAUAAUCAAAUGAAAUCCUACACUGUAUGCCAAAGCUCUACUAAGAGUUCUUUUUAUUAUAUUUAUUCACAUGCAUAAUAUUUUUAACUCGCAAAUUUCAAGUAUACGAUGGUUUAAUGUGCAUUUUUAUUUUUUCUUGUUUGUAAGAAAUACAGGUUUUGGCAAAUGGCUCAAGUUCAUUGUUGUCUUUUUGGAAUUUAUUAAUGUGCACCAAGUAUGGGACUUGAAAUAAAGUAUGUCUAUCAAUAACAUAUCACCUUUGCCAUUGGUCUGUAUUUAUUUUCAAUCCAUUAUUGAUUUCCUCAAUAGUUAAAUGUCUUCAAAUAAAAAGUUAAAAUUAAUUUCAUUUCUUUUAAAUGUUUUACUGUUUACAUGUAGAUUUAUUUAUUUUUGAUAAAAGAAUGAAGUUCUAGUAACAAUUACUUAACAUACGGGUCUUCUAUAGUUGUUUUGAUCCUAUUGGUAAUGACUGCAUGCUUUUGCAUUUUAAGACAAAAGAAAAUUCCAAAGCAGCAAGAGAUGAAGUGAUAAUCCUUAUAUAUGAAAGGAAAUUGGAUAUAAUACAAGGUCUUCUUUGAUUAGAGGGUUAUAAAUAAUUUUUCAUAAUAGCAGCUUUGGUCUAAUAAACUGUUUUUGUAAAGCUCAUUUUUUUUUUUUUUUUUUUUUUUUAAUUUGAUACAAAUAUUGUGUUCACAUAAUCAACAUAUAGUAAUGUUGAUUUUAGACAAAGAUAAUGAUGCAUUUCACCUUGUGUUACCAACAUCUCCAACCACUUGCUCAUACUUGUAUUUUUUCUGAGAAAAAAAUAUUUUUUGCAGAAUUUAUGCUGACAAUCCAAUUGCUUAUAAGAAUUUAUAAAUAAAAUAAGAAUAAAAUGAAAGAAAGUUACUAACUUGGGAACAAUCAAUACAAGUGAAUUUUAUUGGAAGUCUUCACAGACUAUGAAAGAGUGUCCAAAAUCCAAAAACAAAUGCUUAAUAAACACAUCUUCAAGGUUUAUCCAUGUUGCAAUAUUGGUAAUCUAAACAAAAUAUAUAAGUACUGGUUAUUAAAAUUGAACGCAAAUUAGUGUCAGAGACAUUGAAUGAUAGAAAUUAUUGUUAACAUAAUUGUUAAUGCAGUUUGUACUGGAUUCCUUUGUCAAAUGCAAAAAAAUGCUCUUUGAUAUUAUAUUGGUUAGAAAUAUACUUAAAAACUUUAUGUUGAUUCACUUCUUGAAUUAUUUUUACAAUACAAUUACAACUCUUGUAGAAAGAUGUCUCUGACCAAACUUUAAAUUAUUUUAUUUUAUUUUCAAUUUUUGUGCUUGGAUAAUGAGCUACAAACUAUGUAAUUUUAAGAACUAUGUAAAAUCUAAAGGUAGUUCCGAUUAAUCAAUUAAUCUUUGGAAAAAAAAAUUAAAUUCUAAAAGAAAUAUUAAGUUGAGUUUAUAUUUUAGAAGGUUCUAGCUCUUAUCAGUAUAAAUUUGAUAUAGUAUUUACAAAAAUGUUCUUAUAUAUAUAUAUAUAUAUAUAUAUAUAUAUAUAGAUACCAAAACAAAUUAAAUUUUGAUGUUUCUAAGAUAUAAUUAAAUUCUUUAGAAUUUUUAUAAUCCCACUCACACAAAGACAUGUCUGAUAAGUGAUCCUAAGGUUUUUUUAACAUGGGUAUAAUUAAGAGUAAUUGAUCUACUAAAAAUAGGAUUAAUAAUCCUUUAACAGAAUCUUUACUUUUAUUUUGAAAAAUUUAUUUGGUAAAACUCAUCUAUAUUCAAAAUUAUUUUUUAUUUAAUUAUUUUAUUUUAUUGUUUUUAUUGAAUAUUAUUUUCUGUAACAUGUUCUGAAAAACUUUUGCAUAUAAACGAAACAAGUCACAGUCCUUCUAUAAUUCACUUAAUUUUAACAUCUCUAUAAUAUACAACAAUAGAAUCUAUAUAUAUAUAAUUCAAACUUAUUUUCAAAUCAUUUUAUUUAAGAUGAUUAUUUGUAACCUAAUAUUUUAUUCUAUUUCAAAUAAAAUAUCAAAAUGAUAACAAUAAUAAUACUUGAAAGUACAAAAUAAUUCUUUGUUGAAUAUUUAAGACAUUUUAAAAAGUUUUGUAUGUUAUGGUUAUUUUUUGAUUUAUUUGCAUGUGUAAAUUGCUUAUUUUUUUUCUAUUUUUAUUUUUUAUGUCAUAUUAAUGGAAAAUAAUUGUGUGAUUCUUGGCUAUAUUGUUUGCAAUGCUCUUCAUUAUAAUAGCAAUGUAAGUUAUCACUUGUAAUUGCAGAAGUUGCAAGUCAUAUCCGUUAUGGCAUCAACAUUGGUGGAGCCAAUAGAAUUAAAUCAAAAAUAUUUAUUGACAUAAAUUUUUCAUGCUCAUAUAGAAAUACUUUUUAAAAUUGGUACAUAAGAUUUAAAAUUUUAAAAAUUCUGUAAAGAUUAUAAUUUUUCAAAAAUGUUAUUAAAGGCAUUGUCAGUUACUUGUGCAAGAAAUAUAUAUAUAUAUAUAUAAUAUAUAUAUUGUAUAAUAUAUAUAUAUAUUGUACAUAAUUUAUACUUUUUAAAUAUAUUUUUAACU